UUUUAUUACAACAGCAAUUUUAUAAUAUUUUGAUAUUCAGUAUAGUAAUAUAAUAAUAUAUUGUUGUUGUUAUUGUUUUAUUUUUAUAUGCCACCCCUCUGACUGGGCAGCUCCCAACAGAAAAUAUCAACAACACAAUAAGUACAGUAUCAAACACGGAAAAGCUUUCCUGAACCUUCAGAUGCCUUUUAAAAAUCACCCAGCUGUUUAUCUCCUUGACAUCUGAUGCACAAACAGCUAAAAGCAGUUUGCAGCAAAAAAGUGGAAAGCGCAUUUUUGCUGUAAUUGUGAUAUUUAGCUUAUUUUUUAAUUGCUGUUUUGCUUAUUGUUUAGUUUGUUAAUAGUUUUUUUAUAUUUUAUAAUUGCUUUAUUGUUGAUGUGUUAAUUAUUUUACUUGAUUUAUGCUGUAUUUGUGAUGUUAAAUUAUACAGCGGUAUAUAAAUAUUUUUAUUGUAGAAUUAUAGAGUUGCAUUUCUCAACACCUGACCUCCAUCUAAUUUGAAACCAUACCAGGCCCUGCUUAAGCUUUGCAGAUGUGCUAGCAAUUUUAUUGCUGCACCACUAGGAGGAGAGAACACAUAAAAAUGAAUAAAUAAGGAAACGAAGAGACUUGAUGAACCAAUCCAUCUUUUAGUCUUAUUUUGUUUCCAUCAGUUGCAGGGUGGAUUUGAUUUAAAUUACAAUUUAAAUCCCUAGUCAAUAAAACUUGAUUUAAAUCA
Molecule: non-coding RNA, 719 nt
Organism: Podarcis lilfordi (Lilford's wall lizard)
Lineage: Eukaryota; Metazoa; Chordata; Lepidosauria; Squamata; Lacertidae
Source: the annotation of a GenBank genome assembly